RNAcentral lists this ribosomal RNA (492 nucleotides) under uncultured bacterium. RNAcentral describes it as "partial 16S ribosomal RNA". It matches the Rfam family "Bacterial small subunit ribosomal RNA", at positions 29 to 507 of the family's 1533-position model. The record is from RNAcentral.
AUUGAACGCUGGCGGCAUGCUUUACACAUGCAAGUCGAACGGUAACAGGCCUUCGGGUGCUGACGAGUGGCGAACGGGUGAGUAAUGCAUCGGAACGUACCCAGAGGUGGGGGAUAACGCAGCGAAAGCUGUGCUAAUACCGCAUGUGAUCUGAGGAUGAAAGCGGGGGACCGAGCAGCAAUGUUUGGCCUCGCGCCUUUGGAGCGGCCGAUGUCGGAUUAGCUAGUUGGUGGGGUAAAGGCCUACCAAGGCGACGAUCCGUAGCUGGUCUGAGAGGACGACCAGCCACACUGGGACUGAGACACGGCCCAGACUCCUACGGGAGGCAGCAGUGGGGAAUGUUGGACAAUGGGCGCAAGCCUGAUCCAGCAAUGCCGCGUGCGGGAAGAAGGCCUUCGGGUUGUAAACCGCUUUUGGCAGGAACGAAACGGUGUCCGCUAAUACCGGGCGCUAAUGACGGUACCUGCAGAAUAAGCACGGGCUAACUACGUG